UUGGAAGUAAAAGUCGUAACAAGGUUUCCGUAGGUGAACCUGCGGAAGGAUCAUUACCGAGUGAGGGCCCUCUGGGUCCAACCUCCCACCCGUGUUUAUUUUACCUUGUUGCUUCGGCGGGCCCGCCUUAACUGGCCGCCGGGGGGCUCACGCCCCCGGGCCCGCGCCCGCCGAAGACACCCUCGAACUCUGUCUGAAGAUUGAAGUCUGAGUGAAAAUAUAAAUUAUUUAAAACUUUCAACAACGGAUCUCUUGGUUCCGGCAUCGAUGAAGAACGCAGCGAAAUGCGAUACGUAAUGUGAAUUGCAAAUUCAGUGAAUCAUCGAGUCUUUGAACGCACAUUGCGCCCCCUGGUAUUCCGGGGGGCAUGCCUGUCCGAGCGUCAUUGCUGCCCUCAAGCCCGGCUUGUGUGUUGGGCCCCGUCCUCCGAUUUCCGGGGGACGGGCCCGAAAGGCAGCGGCGGCACCGCGUCCGGUCCUCGAGCGUAUGGGGCUUUGUCACCCGCUCUGUAGGCCCGGCCGGCGCUUGCCGAUCAACCCAAAUUUUUAUCCAGGUUGACCUCGGAUCAGGUAGGGAUACCCGCUGAACUUAAGCAUAUCAAUAA
This 604-nucleotide ribosomal RNA is filed under the name Penicillium commune. RNAcentral's name for it is "eukaryotic LSU rRNA". The stretch from base 233 to 385 matches the Rfam family "5.8S ribosomal RNA". The record is from RNAcentral. Lineage: Eukaryota; Fungi; Ascomycota; Eurotiomycetes; Eurotiales; Aspergillaceae.